Molecule: ribosomal RNA, 418 nt
Filed under: uncultured bacterium
Lineage: Bacteria
Description: bacterial SSU rRNA
Rfam family: Bacterial small subunit ribosomal RNA
Source: RNAcentral
GUGCCAGCCGCCGCGGUGAUACGAAGGGUGCAAGCGUUACUCGGAAUUACUGGGCGUAAAGCGUGCGUAGGUGGUUCGUUAAGUCUGCCGUGAAAGCCCCGGGCUCAACCUGGGAAUUGCGGUGGAUACUGGCGGACUAGAGUGCGGUAGAGGGUGGUGGAAUUCCCGGUGUAGCAGUGAAAUGCGUAGAGAUCGGGNGGAACAUCUGUGGCGAAGGCGGCCACCUGGACCAGCACUGACACUGAGGCACGAAAGCGUGGGGAGCAAACAGGAUUAGAUACCCUGGUAGUCCACGCCCUAAACGAUGCGAACUGGACGUUGGGCUCAAUUGAGAGCUCAGUGUCGAAGCUAAAACGCGUUAAGUUCCGCCGCCGNGGGGAGUACGUCGCAAGACUAGAAACUUAAAGGAAUUGGCGGG